This 637-nucleotide ribosomal RNA is filed under the name uncultured bacterium. Its description in RNAcentral is "bacterial SSU rRNA". It matches the Rfam family "Bacterial small subunit ribosomal RNA", at positions 28 to 694 of the family's 1533-position model. The record is from RNAcentral.
GGUGAACGCAGCGGUGCGCCUAACACAUGCAAGUCGAGCGGUAAAAUUUUUUAGCUUGCUAGAAAAUUUGAGAGCGGCGAACGGGUGAGUAACACGUUGAUAUCUGCCCCCAAGUCAGGGAUAGCCAUUGGAAACGAUGAUUAAUACCGGAUAAUCUCUUCGGAGUAAAGAUUUAUUGCUCGGGGAGGAGUCUGCGGUCUAUCAGUUAGUCGGUGAGGUAAUAGCUCACCAAGGCUAUGACGGAUACCUGGUCUGAGAGGAUGAUCAGGCACAAUGGAACUGAGACACGGCCCAUACUCCUACGGGAGGCAGCAGUGAGGAAUCUUCCACAAUGGACGAAAGUCUGAUGGAGCGACACCGCGUGAAGGAUGAAGGCCUAACGGUUGUAAACUUCUUUUCUGAAGGAGCAUAAUGAGAGUACUUCAGGAAUAAGGGACGGCUAAAUACGUGCCAGCAGCCGCGGUAAUACGUAUGUCUCAAGCGUUACCCGGAAUUACUGGGUGUAAAGGGUUCGUAGGUGGUUAGAAAAGUUGGAUAUGAAAGACCGGAGCUCAACUCCGUGUUGGUGUUCAAAACUGUUUAACUAGAAUCAGGGAGAGGUAAGUGGAAUUCUGUGUGUAGGGGUGCAAUCCGUAAU